GGAUUAUCCUGGAGCUGGGAUCAGCCUGGACCUGGCCUCCAGAUCCCAGGGAAUUUGGCCAGAAUGGAAAGAGUUGGAACGUGGCCACAGAGAUGAGGCUUAGAAUUGCCAAAGCAAAGAUUGUCGGCCAUGGGUGUCCAAUGGGUGUCCCAUGUCACCCUUCUGGUGGCACCCCAGACUUCGUUCUAGUGCCACCAAGGAGCUUCGGGAUGGGGAGCCACCACAGAGGGCACAGAGCUGGCAGGGCCACCAAGAUGGGCACAGGAGUGGCAGGGCCACCAAGGAAGGCACAGGAAUGGCAGGGCCACCAAGGAAGGCACAGGAAUGGCAGGGCCACCAAGCUGGGCACAGGACUGUCACUUCCAGGGGAUGCAGGGACACCUCUGCCUUCCCCAUCCCUGUGUUCCCAGCUUCCCUACCGGGACCCCAGGGCGCUCCCCCAGUUCCUGCAGGUUCCUCGUGUUAGCACCAGGCAGCGGAAAGGUCUAAAUUAGAGCUGUUAAUUCCUAACGAGGCACCUGGGCUUCCCAAAAAAGAGCGGAGCAGGAGCUGGGGAUGAGCAGGGACCCCCUCAGUGGCUGCCCUGACUCAGUUCCUGGAAGAGUUGGUGCAGCCGUUCC
This is a non-coding RNA of Taeniopygia guttata (zebra finch), 620 nucleotides long. The record is from RefSeq and is a predicted model, not a curated record. NCBI's taxonomy places the organism in Eukaryota, Metazoa, Chordata, Aves, Passeriformes, Estrildidae.